GCUGGCGGCGUGCCUAAUACAUGCAAGUCGAGCGAACAGAUGAGAAGCUUGCUUCUCUGAUGUUAGCGGCGGACGGGUGAGUAACACGUGGGUAACCUACCUAUAAGACUGGGAUAACUCCGGGAAACCGGGGCUAAUACCGGAUAAUAUUUUGAACCGCAUGGUUCAAUAGUGAAAGACGGUUUCGGCUGUCACUUAUAGAUGGACCCGCGCCGUAUUAGCUAGUUGGUAAGGUAACGGCUUACCAAGGCGACGAUACGUAGCCGACCUGAGAGGGUGAUCGGCCACACUGGAACUGAGACACGGUCCAGACUCCUACGGGAGGCAGCAGUAGGGAAUCUUCCGCAAUGGGCGAAAGCCUGACGGAGCAACGCCGCGUGAGUGAUGAAGGUCUUCGGAUCGUAAAACUCUGUUGUUAGGGAAGAACAAAUUUGUUAGUAACUGAACAAGUCUG
RNAcentral lists this ribosomal RNA (454 nucleotides) under Mammaliicoccus sciuri. RNAcentral's name for it is "bacterial SSU rRNA". It matches the Rfam family "Bacterial small subunit ribosomal RNA", at positions 35 to 475 of the family's 1533-position model. The record is from RNAcentral. Lineage: Bacteria; Bacillati; Bacillota; Bacilli; Caryophanales; Staphylococcaceae.